This 21-nucleotide non-coding RNA is filed under the name Arabidopsis thaliana (thale cress). Lineage: Eukaryota; Viridiplantae; Streptophyta; Magnoliopsida; Brassicales; Brassicaceae. The record is from RNAcentral.
UCACAGACCUGUUAUUGCCUC